GGGCCGUUGUACACACCGCCCGUCACACCAUGAGAGUUGGGAAUACCCGAAGCCUGUGAGCUAACGAAAGAGGCAGCAGUCGAAGGUAGAAUCAAUGAUUGGGGUGAAGUCGUAACAAGGUACC
RNAcentral lists this ribosomal RNA (124 nucleotides) under uncultured bacterium. Its description in RNAcentral is "partial 16S ribosomal RNA". It matches the Rfam family "Bacterial small subunit ribosomal RNA", at positions 1375 to 1500 of the family's 1533-position model. The record is from RNAcentral.